RNA transcript from Humulus lupulus (European hop), 973 nucleotides. RefSeq lists it as uncharacterized. The record is from RefSeq and is a predicted model, not a curated record. The transcript is spliced from 5 exons. NCBI's taxonomy places the organism in Eukaryota, Viridiplantae, Streptophyta, Magnoliopsida, Rosales, Cannabaceae.
CAAUUAACCUUUUCUCGAACUGCCUUUCUAUAGUUAUUUACUUUCUCUCUCAACUCAACUCAACUUUUUCUUUUCUUUCUUUGUAUGGGAAAAUCGAUUCCCUCGACGACCAGGUCCGGAAUAUACCAAUUGGCUAAAACGACGUCGCAGAGUCUCGGAACUUCAAAACAAGCAAAACCCACAUCGCAGAUCCCUGGAGUCGGUGACCAAAGGUUGAAGAAGGAGAUGGAGAAGGAAAAGGAGAAGGUGAGUAGCUCGGAGAAGGAGGGAAACGACAGUCGUUUGCCGCUUUCUGAGGUCGUUUCCGAUUGUGUGAAGCGGUGGUUCAAGGACACACUCAAGGAGGCCAAAACUGGGGAUAUUAACAUGCAAGUCUUGGUGGGUCAGAUGUAUUUUAGUGGCUAUGGCGUUCCCAGAGAUGCCCAGCGGGGAAGAAUUUGGAUUACAAGGGCAUCAAGGACUAGGUCCUUUUGGAAAGUUAGUGAUAAGCAUCCAGGUUAUAAUGCAAGUGAUUCAGAUUCAGACGAACUCAAGGGUGACUCUUAGAUAGACUAGAAUCUACACACUUCAAGUCCUAUCAAUUGCAUGUUUAACGAAAGCACACAAGAGACUAAGGUCGAGUUGUGAGGCCUUUAUGGCUUGCUUGCUCUCAUGAGCUUUGGCGUUCGACUCCUCAUAGGAGAUUUGCCUUGGCUCUGUUGGUUCACAUGGUCGAGCAUGUUUGUGUUUUGUUACCAAGUUUUUGAAAUUUUUGGCCCCCUUUUGAUAUCUUGUUUGGUGAUGUUAGACUAAUACAAAAUUUUACAUCAAAAUUUAUUCUUAAUAAUGUGAUAUCUUUUCUAACCACUUGAGUAUAGUCAUGUUAGAAAAUGUGUUAUAUUAAUAUGUGUAAAUUUUGUAAGUAAAUUUUGUGCCCUAAUCUUUACUAUUCAUUUAUAAUGACAAUCGACCAAGUAACAUUUCAUUGGCUUUA